RNAcentral lists this ribosomal RNA (441 nucleotides) under uncultured bacterium. RNAcentral describes it as "partial 16S ribosomal RNA". It matches the Rfam family "Bacterial small subunit ribosomal RNA", at positions 338 to 795 of the family's 1533-position model. The record is from RNAcentral.
CCUACGGGUGGCAGCAGUGGGGGAUAUUGCACAAUGGGGGAAACCCUGAUGCAGCGACGCCGCGUGGGUGAAGAAGCGCCUCGGCGCGUAAAGCCCUAUCAGCAGGGAAGAACAAUGACGGUACCUGACUAAGAAGCACCGGCUAAAUACGUGCCAGCAGCCGCGGUAAUACGUAUGGUGCAAGCGUUAUCCGGAUUUACUGGGGGUAAAGGGAGCGCGGGCGGCGCGUUAAGCCUGGUGUGAAAGCCCGCGGCCCAACCGCGGGACUGCAUUGGAAACUGGCGCGCUGGAGUGCGGGAGGGGUAGGCGGAAUGCCUAGUGUAGCGGUGAAAUGCGUAGAUAUUAGGAGGAACACCAGUGGCGAAGGCGGCUUACUGGACGGUGACUGACGCUGAGGCUCGAAAGCGUGGGGAGCAAACAGGAUUAGAUACCCUAGUAGUC